UACGGAGGGUGCAAGCGUUAUCCGGAUUCACUGGGUUUAAAGGGCGCGUAGGCGGUCAGCACAAGUCAGUUGUGAAAUCUCCGGGCUUAACUCGGAAAGGUCAACUGAUACUGUGCGACUAGAGUGCGGAAGGGGCAACUGGAAUUCUCGGUGUAGCGGUGAAAUGCGUAGAUAUCGAGAGGAACACCAAUGGCGAAGGCAGCUCGCUGGGACGGUACUGACGCUGAGACGCGAAAGCGUGGGGAGCAAACAGG
RNAcentral lists this ribosomal RNA (254 nucleotides) under uncultured bacterium. RNAcentral describes it as "partial 16S ribosomal RNA". It matches the Rfam family "Bacterial small subunit ribosomal RNA", at positions 524 to 776 of the family's 1533-position model. The record is from RNAcentral.